GAUGAACGCUGGCGGCGUGUCUAAUACAUGCAAGUCGAGCGAACAGACGAGGAGCUUGCUCCUCUGACGUUAGCGGCGGACGGGUGAGUAACACGUGGAUAACCUACCUAUAAGACUGGGAUAACUUCGGGAAACCGGAGCUAAUACCGGAUAAUAUAUUGAACCGCAUGGUUCAAUAGUGAAAGACGGUUUUGCUGUCACUUAUAGAUGGAUCCGCGCCGCAUUAGCUAGUUGGUAAGGUAACGGCUUACCAAGGCAACGAUGCGUAGCCGACCUGAGAGGGUGAUCGGCCACACUGGAACUGAGACACGGUCCAGACUCCUACGGGAGGCAGCAGUAGGGAAUCGUCCGCAAUGGGCGAAAGCCUGACGGAGCAACGCCGCGUGAGUGAUGAAGGUCUUCGGAUCGUAAAACUCUGUUAUUAGGGAAGAACAAAUGUGUAAGUAACUAUGCACGUCUUGACGGUACCUAAUCAGAAAGCCACGGCUAACUACGUG
Molecule: ribosomal RNA, 497 nt
Filed under: uncultured bacterium
Lineage: Bacteria
Description: partial 16S ribosomal RNA
Rfam family: Bacterial small subunit ribosomal RNA
Source: RNAcentral